GCUAUGCUGUCAUUCUGAAUAGAUCUGUUUGACUUAUCACUUAAAAGUAAGUGUUUUCACACAUUAAAACAGAAAUUCAGAUUUUAAUUAACCCAGUGAAUUUGCCUGAAAAUAUGCUCCCUGGAACACAACUAAGUCGUGCUUAUGAUAAAGAUGUGGCUGGAAAGGGAGAUGUCUACCGUUUUCUGAAUAAAACAUAAGAUUUUGCCAUCGAUGCAAGUUCUGGUGUAAUCACUGCUACCAAAAUUUUUAAUUAUGAAACAGAUCCAAUAAGGUUUCUUCUGAUAGUUGAUACUGGGAGGCUCUAUAGACAUGAUUUGACCAUUAAUAUUAUUGAUGUUCCCGAAUCUCCAAACUGUACUGCUGAUCCCAAAUUUUCUUCAGGCACAGGUAUGAUGCGUUAUCUUCCUAUAGUUUACUUCUAAAAGCUAU
RNAcentral lists this long non-coding RNA (432 nucleotides) under Pan troglodytes (chimpanzee). Its description in RNAcentral is "lncRNA (ENSPTRG00000053813.1)". The record is from RNAcentral. Lineage: Eukaryota; Metazoa; Chordata; Mammalia; Primates; Hominidae.